This 1098-nucleotide ribosomal RNA is filed under the name Ochoterenella sp. 1 SHF-2019. Its description in RNAcentral is "SSU rRNA". It matches the Rfam family "Eukaryotic small subunit ribosomal RNA", at positions 551 to 1681 of the family's 1831-position model. The record is from RNAcentral. Lineage: Eukaryota; Metazoa; Nematoda; Chromadorea; Rhabditida; Onchocercidae.
GAGGGCAGUCUGGUGCCAGCAGCCGCGGUAAUUCCAGCUCUCAAAGUGUAUAUCGUCAUUGCUGCGGUUAAAAAGCUCGUAGUUGGAUCUUCGUCUAAGGACCCGGUCCGUUCAUUGGAUGAGAACUGGGCUCCUAGACUAUUGAUGUCAGUUUUUCCCUACGUUACUUUUAUCGGUUGCGUAGGGUGGCUGACAAGUUUACCUUGAAAAAAUUAGAGUGCUCAAUGCGGGCUGAUGCCUGAAUACUCGUGCAUGGAAUAAUGAAAUAGGAUCUCGGUUCUAUUUUGUUGGUUUUCUGAAUUGAGAUAAUGGUUAAGAGGGACGGACGGGGGCAUUCGUAUCGCUGCGUGAGAGGUGAAAUUCUUGGACCGUAGCGAGACGUCCGACUGCGAAAGCAUUUGCCAAGAAUGUCUUCAUUAAUCAAGAACGAAAGUCAGAGGUUCGAAGGCGAUCAGAUACCGCCCUAGUUCUGACCGUAAACGAUACCAACUAGCGUUCCGUUGGCGGUAAAUACGCCUUGACGGGCAGCUUCCCGGAAACGAAAGUUUUUCGGUUCCGGGGGAAGUAUGGUUGCAAAGCUGAAACUUAAAGAAAUUGACGGAAGGGCACCACCAGGAGUGGAGCCUGCGGCUUAAUUUGACUCAACACGGGAAAACUCACCUGGCCCGGACACCGUGAGGAUUGACAGAUUGAGAGCUCUUUCAUGAUUCGGUGGUUGGUGGUGCAUGGCCGUUCUUAGUUGGUGGAGUGAUUUGUCUGGUUUAUUCCGAUAACGAGCGAGACUCUAGCCUACUAAAUAGUUACUGGAUAGCUUACCGUCCAGACAACUUCUUAGAGGGACAAGCGGUGUUUAGCCGCAUGAAGUUGAGCAAUAACAGGUCUGUGAUGCCCUUAGAUGUCCAGGGCUGCACGCACGCUACACUGGAGGAAUCAGCGUGCUGUAACCAUUGCCGAAAGGUAUUGGUAACCCCUUGAAAAUCCUCCGUGAUCGGGAUCGGGAAUUGCAAUUAUUUCCCUUGAACGAGGAAUUCCUAGUAAGUGUGAGUCAUCAGCUCACGUUGAUUACGUCCCUGCCCUUUGUACCACCGCCCGUCGCUA